UACGGGGGGGGCAAGCGUUGUUCGGAAUUACUGGGCGUAAAGGGCUCGUAGGCGGCCAACUAAGUCGGAUGUGGAAUCCCCAGGCUUAACCUGGGAACUGCAUCCGAUACUGGAUGGCUUGAAUCCGGGAGAGGGAUGCAGAAUUCCAGGUGUAGCGGUGAAAUGCGUAGAUAUCAGGAGGAACACCAAUGGCGAAGGCAGCUCGCUGGGACGGUACUGACGCUGAGACGCGAAAGCGUGGGGAGCAAACAGG
This 253-nucleotide ribosomal RNA is filed under the name uncultured bacterium. RNAcentral's name for it is "partial 16S ribosomal RNA". It matches the Rfam family "Bacterial small subunit ribosomal RNA", at positions 524 to 776 of the family's 1533-position model. The record is from RNAcentral.